GCUGAGCCAUGAUCAAACUCNAACUGCUAAUACCGCAUAAUGUCUACGGACCAAAGGGGGCUUCCGCUCUCNCCUUUANAUUGNCCCAAGUGGGAUUAGCUANUUGGUGAGGUAAUGGCUCACCAAGGCCACNAUCCCUAUCUGGUUUGAGAGGAUGAUCA
Molecule: ribosomal RNA, 161 nt
Filed under: marine bacterium SIMO-4461
Lineage: Bacteria
Description: partial 16S ribosomal RNA
Rfam family: Bacterial small subunit ribosomal RNA
Source: RNAcentral